UACGAAGGGAGCUAGCGUUGUUCGGACUCACUGGGCGUAAAGCGCACGUAGGCGGAUGUGUCAGUCAGGGGUGAAAUCCCGGGGCUCAACCUCGGAACUGCCUCUGAUACAGCACGUCUCGAGUCCGGAAGAGGUGGGUGGAAUUCCUAGUGUAGAGGUGAAAUUCGUAGAUAUUAGGAGGAACACCGGUGGCGAAGGCGGCCCACUGGUCCGGUACUGACGCUGAGGUGCGAAAGCGUGGGGAGCAAAUAGG
Molecule: ribosomal RNA, 253 nt
Filed under: uncultured bacterium
Lineage: Bacteria
Description: partial 16S ribosomal RNA
Rfam family: Bacterial small subunit ribosomal RNA
Source: RNAcentral